RNAcentral lists this long non-coding RNA (43634 nucleotides) under Lactuca sativa (garden lettuce). RNAcentral's name for it is "long non-coding RNA (LSAT_LNC007029)". Lineage: Eukaryota; Viridiplantae; Streptophyta; Magnoliopsida; Asterales; Asteraceae. The record is from RNAcentral.
AAAGGUUUAAAAUACAACCCUAUACUAAUAUGAUAUUACUAGAAUAAUAUAUAUAUGUAUAACUAAAUGCUAGUCUUACCGUUAGUAGGCCUCAUUCACGAAGCCGAUCUAUAAGGUGGGUAUAAGGUUGCGGCCUAUAAAAUGGCGCUUAAUGGGUGUACACUCACACCCACCGCUUGCUUGAUUGGUGGAGGGUCGUUAGCCGAACGGGUAGGAUAGGGCAACCUCAUCCUCUCAUUAAAAGUAUAAUAAGAAAUACAAAGUAACUACACAUAUUUUAAAAUUUCCCAAUCUUAGUUACUUUAGGAAAAGUGAAUUGAUGCAAUCCCAUGAAAUUACACUUUGCACCUUGCUAAGAUGUUAGUGGAGCGUGUGUGGUUUACCGGCACACUAAUUGGUUCUAAGCGAAGGUGGCAAAGGGUGAUUCAUUGUUUAUCAUAGUUCGAUGGAGCGUGUGUGGUUUACCGGCACAUCGAAUAGGUGAUCGUUACAAUGAAGGCACCAUGUGAAUUUGCAUGGUAAUUCACACCCGCUUUGUGAUCCUCGGUAUCCCAGUCACAAACAAGAGGGGCAUAUCGAGAUUUAAACAUGCCAUUGAAUAGUUUCAAUGAAUCUCAUCCGAACCUAGGAAUUCUCAAUACAUUUAGGACUAAUAGUUAGGUUUUAUGGUGGAGAAUUAGUGAAUCGUCAUUCACUUACCUUCAAUUUAUUUGCAUGUUAGAUUACGGCAUCCCUUUUCUAAUAUGUAAAUGUUAUUGUUGGAUCCUAGCCCUAAUUUUUCUUAUUGGGUGAUAAUUAGGGAUUCUUAUUCUAAUCUAUCUUUGUCCUUUUCUAAUUGUAGAUGUCGAACGCAAACAACGCUGCUGCUAGUUCUUUCACGUUGAUGAGCCUUUGCCAAAAGGUCACCUUCGAUGGAACGAACUUUAGCGAAUGGAUAAGAUACAUUCGCACCAUUGCUCGCUAUGAGGAUAAGGAGUAUGUCCUCGAUGAGAAGCUCGAGAAAAUCAACCCCGAAAUCGCUACUCCCGCCGAAAUCACCGCUUUUGAGACUCAUGAGCGAGAUGCAACGAAGGUACAUUGCAUCAUGAUCGCCACCAUGAACUCCGAAUUCCAAAAGUCCUACGAGGACAUGUACCCGUACGAGAUGCACCAAGACUUAUUGGAGAGAUACCACCAAAACGCGAGACAAGAGCGUUAUGAGAUUUUCACCAACAUGAUUUCCGCGAAGAUGGGUCAUGGAGAAUCUCUUACCGUGCACCUGCAAAAGAUGCAAAGGUAUGUCGACCGCCUUCGCAAGUUAAAUGUUGACUUUGGGGAAGACUUGGCGAUCGACAUGGUGCUUCACUCUUUGCCUCCGAUGUACAAUCAAUUUAGGAUGACCUACCACAUGAACAAAGAGGAGGUCACCCUAAGCAAACUCCAAGGUCUCUUGAGGGUCGCUGAGAGCAACUUCAAAGACAAGUCUGUUGCACCAACUCCCAAUCCACCCGCUGCUCCUGUCUUGGCUAUUGGUCAAGGAAAGGGAAAGAAGAGGAAGGCUUCAUCGAAGAACUAUCGCAAGGUUAAAGCCCGAGAUGGUGCCUCUUCUAGUGGGACCAAAGUUGAUCCCGCUAAGCCCUGCCCUAACCCGAAGGAGGCAGAGUGCCACCACUGCCACAAGAUAGGACAUUGGAAGAGAAGCUGCCCAGAGUACCUGCAAGCAAUCAAAGAAGGAAAGAUCAAGCCAUCUUUCGCAGGUAUAUACACAAUUAAAUCUAACGAUUCUAAUCAUGCUAUUUCUUGGGUUCUUGAUACCGGUUGUGGUUAUCACAUUUGUUCUAAUGUGCAGGGACUAAGAAGAAGUAGGGAUGUGGAGCAAGGAAGGAUCAAUCUAAUCAUGGGGAACAGAAGAUCGUCGCCUGUGACCAAGAUUGGAGUGUAUUCUUUAGUGCUUAGGAAUAGUUUAGUUUUAGAUUUGAACAAUUGUUGCUAUUCGCCAGAAAUGGCUAGAAACAUCAUUUCAUUUCAUGGUUUAUAUAGACAAGGAUUUAGAUUUUCUUUUAAUAAUGAGAAUGGUUCUAUUUUGGCUUAUCUAAAUGGUGUCUUUUACUUUGAAGCUAUACCAUGUAAUGGAAUAUAUGAAACCGUUAUGAUUGUUGAUAACUUAGGAAAUGAUGUUUUGAAUAUUGAUUCUUCCACUAGUAUGGAUAAAGCAUCCUUGUGGCAUUGUCGUCUUGGACAUGUCAACAAGAAACGCAUAGCCCAACUCCAAAAGGAUGGAGUGUUGGAGUCAUUCGACCUUAGGGAAGAUGACACAUGCGAGUCUUGUUUGCUUGGAAAGAUGACUAAGUCACCCUUCACGAGUACAUGUGAAAGGGGCGAGGGUCUAUUGGACCUAAUACAUACCGAUGUAUGUGGACCGUUUAGAUCAACCACGAAGGAUGGGAACCGCUUCUAUGUGACUUUUACCGAUGACUAUAGUAGAUAUGGGUAUAUCUACUUAAUCAAGCAAAAGUCAGACACCUUUGAAAAGUUCAAAGAGUUCAAGAAUGAAGUGGAGAAUCAAUUGGGCAGGAAAAUCAAGAUGCUUCGAUCCGAUCGAGGAGGAGAGUACCUAAGUCUUGAAUUCCACGAUUAUCUCAAGGAGUGUGGAAUAGUUUCACAAUUGACGCCUCCUAGGACACCGCAGUUGAAUGGUGUGGCAGAAAGGCGUAAUCGAACCUUAUUGGAUAUGGUUCGCUCUAUGAUGAGUCGUGCUUCACUACCAAUCUCUUUUUGGGGGUAUGCCUUAGAGACUGCCGCCCAUAUCCUUAACCGAGUCCCUACUAAGAAGGUUGCCAAAACACCUCACGAGAUGUGGACAGGGAAAGCUCCCUCGUUGGCACAUAUCAAGGUUUGGGGUUGCGAGGCUUUCGUAAGACGAGAUACUCACGACAAGCUUGAACCUCGAAGUGAGCGAUGUAUUUUCAUCGGCUACCCGCAGACAUCCUUUGGAUAUCUCUUCUAUAGACCGAAGGACAAUGUUGUCUUCGUUGCGAGGAGAGGAGUUUUCCGAGAGCGAGAACUCAUAAGCCAAGGAGACAGUGGGAGGCAAAUCGAACUUGAAGAGAUUCAAGAGUCGAUAGAUGAAGGAACCUCUACCGCUGGCACUCAACCCGAGGAGGAAACUCCGGUUGAACCGAUUGACGAAUCCUUACCUCUUAGACGUUCCGAUAGAGUUAGAGUUCUUCCCCAGUUUUAUGGUUUUCAUAUUACUACCGAAGGGGACACGUAUAUUAGUGAUGGUACACUAGUAAAUCUUGAUGAACCUAAUAGCUAUAAGGAAGCCAUGGCAGGCCCGGAGUCUGCAAAAUGGAAAGAGGCAAUGGAUAGCGAGAUCCAAUCCAUGUAUGAUAACCAAGUUUGGAAUUUGGUUGAUUAUGUGCCCGGACGUAAGACCGUUGGGUGCAAAUGGAUCUUCAAGAAGAAGACCGACGUGGAUGGAAACGUACACACAUAUAAAGCGCGAUUGGUUGCGAAGGGCUUUACUCAAACUCCCGGAGUUGACUAUGAUGAGACCUUCUCACCAGUUGCGAAGAUUAAAUCUAUUAGAGUGAUGCUAGCAAUUGCCGCAUUUCAUGAUUAUGAGAUUUGGCAAAUGGAUGUCAAGACCGCUUUCCUUAACGGAAAGUUGGCUGAGGAUGUUUACAUGGCUCAGCCAGAGGGGUUUGUGGAUCCGAAGCAUCCGGAUAGAGUGUGUAAGCUUGAGAAGUCCAUUUAUGGACUUAAGCAAGCGUCUCGCAGAUGGAAUCUUUGCUUCGAUGAGAAAGUCAAAGAGUUUGGAUUUGUACGAAGCGAAGACGAAUCUUGUGUAUAUGUCAAAGCCAGUGGGAGUAUAGUAAGCUUCCUCGUUCUAUAUGUCGAUGACAUAUUACUCAUAGGAAACGACAUCCCGACUCUGCAGGAGGUUAAGUCCUGGCUCGGGAAGUGCUUCGCUAUGAAGGACCUCGGAGAGGCUUCUUACAUUUUGGGAAUAAGGAUAGUAAGAGAAAGAAGUAAGAGACUAAUUGGACUUAGUCAGAAUACUUACUUAGAGAAGGUACUAAAACGUUUUAGUAUGGAAAACUCAAAGAAGGGAGAACUACCGAUACAAAGUAAUGCCAAAUUGAGUAAGACUCAAAGUCCGAGUACCGAAGCUGAGAUAGCAGAAAUGAGCCGAGUACCAUACGCUUCCGCAGUUGGCUCAAUCAUGUACGCUAUGACUUGUACUCGCCCUGAUGUAGCCUUCGCUUUGAGCAUGGUUAGCAGAUAUCAAGGGAAUCCUGGCAAAGCACAUUGGAUUGCGGUGAAGAAUAUCCUUAAGUACCUUCGGAGGACGAAGGAAUGGUUCUUAGUCCUCGGAGGGAGUGAUGACUUGAAGGUGCGAGGGUAUAGUGACGCCAGUUUUCAGACCGACAGGGACAACUACCGUUCGCAGUCGGGCUGGGUCUUUACCCUAAAUGGAGGAGCAGUGACAUGGAAGAGUUCCAAGCAGGAAACCGUAGCUGAUUCAACGUGCGAAUCAGAGUACAUUGCAGCGAGCGAAGCGUCGAAGGAGGCAAUAUGGCUAAAGAACUUCAUCGGUGAUCUUGGAGUUGUACCUGCCAUAAAGGAGCCCAUGGAGAUUUUCUGUGAUAACGAAGGAGCGGUUGCCUUGACCAAGGAACCGAGGGAUCAUGGUAGAUCAAGACAUAUCGACAGAAAAUAUCACUUCAUUAGACAUCGUGUAGAAGAAGGACAACUCGUAGUGAAGAGGAUAUCAUCAGAAGAUAACCCAGCAGAUCCGCUUACGAAGGGACUGAGUAGGGUUAAGCACUUGCAGCAUGCUAGGAGUAUUGGGCUGAAGGAUGAUAUUAGCAUAGAUUAGAUAGUAUUAGAAACGUGUAAUAGAUAAAUGUAAUUAACAUUUGAUGAUUAAAUAAAGGAGUUUUAUUUAUGAGUAAUGUUACUAUCUUAUGUUAAUUGUUUAGCUAUUGUUUCACUUUGCAUGUUUUGACUUCCAGAAUAAUUGAGUUUAUUAGGAAUAAUCGAAUUGUUCAAAUUGUCCACAAUCGUUCAUAUGUUGGAAGUAGAUAUGAAUGAAGAUUGUCAUGAAUUGGUGUGUAGAUUGUCUAAAUGGUGUUAGACAUAGCAAAGGGUUGCUGCAACGUUCAUGAGUGCUUAUGAACUAGUUUUGAGCAUUGGAACAAACCCGCGCUUGCUGGAAUCACCUUAUGGAAUAUGAUAUAAAAGGGUGAUCGCAAGACGAUAAUAUCAUAUAGUCUUAAAACCUAGAUAUAUGGUUUGUUAUUUGUUAAUUGAUUGUACAUUGAUAAUGCGAAAACGCAUCAGUAACUCGGUGUUAUAAAACGCAUUGUUGUGUAUAGUUGGUUAAUGAAUAAGUAAAUGCAUAUAAGUCGAAGUUUAUCUGUAACUUUUAUCUAAGAAGGUAAAAGCGAUAUCUCGGCCGCUCGAUGAUUUGAUUUGACUUAUGUGCCGGGCCCGGUCAGAACUGAAUUGAUGUGUUCGAUUAAGUUCUAUGUCAAAUAAAUCAGAGAUCGAGAAACCUAAAUGCUUGACUAACCAUUCCAUAGGAUUGUCAGCAUGAUAUCUAACAGAGGACUGUACGUUCCCUUAUCUAAAGGACAAGAUUGAUUAGAUCAGAGUUGACAGCGUCUUUGAGAGCUACGAUUGCAAACCGAAUUGUACUUGUAUAGUUACUAGACUUAUCCAAGUGGGAGACUGUUGGAAUAGUGUCUAAGGCUGUAACUAUAUUAGGCAAGUAUUUGACCCGGUUGUGCAUGGUCCUUUUGGGUUGCCUUCACCAUAGCAACUUGAUAGGAUGAUUUAUUAAGAGAGAGUAAAUAUUAUUAAUAUAUUAUGAGAAUAAUAUAAUGAAUAAUAUAUUGUUAUUUGAUUAAUAUAAGUCAUAGAAUUAAUUGGAAUUAAUUUGGUGACUUAAAGAGAUUAAUUAAAUAAAGGGGUAUAAACUGUCAAUUGUUUGAUAGUUAAGAUUUAGACUGUAGAUCCAUAUAGAUAUACAAGGGACGGAUUCUAGAAGCUAGGAUAGCUUCAAAAAUCGUCCAAGGGGUUAUCUAUGGAAUGGAUUUGGAUAUCCUUAAGAGAAGAUUAUCCAAUUAGGGUUUAGAUUGUAACCCUUAAGGAGUCUACAAGUAUAAAUAGAUCCCAUAGGCAAGGGAAAUCGGCACCUCACCUAAAUUAAGAGAACCCUAGCCGAUUUCCUCCCCUCUCCUCUCUCCUAAGUCAUCUUUCUUGCUAUUGGUGUUUGUAAGCCAUUAGAGGAGUGACAAUUGUGACUCUAGAAGCUCCAAGACAACAAGAUCAACAAGGAAUUCAAAGGUAUGGUUCUAGAUCUAUUUCAAUGUUGUUAUUUAACCUAAUUAGCCAUUAGAAGUCUUGGAUUCAAAGCAUGUUUAAUUAGAAAGCCUAGAUCCAAGCAUUAGGGUUUUGCAUGCGCACAUAGGAAAGUUCUUAUGGCUAAAACCCAUCAGUUCUAACUGGAACAUGAAGACCUUCUUUGACGGAUCUCCAGAUAGCUUCACCUUUCUCUUUAUCUAGUAAAAAUCUUUCCAUUAUGACUUUCCAAUGAUCAUAUUCUUCAACAACUAGCAGUGGGGAACGAGUAGGGCAGCCCACGCUAUUUUCGAUUUGCAUUGAAUACAUUUGUUGAGGAUUAGAAGCAGCCAUUGAAGUUAAGAUUUCUUCAAGAAAAAGUGGUAUAAAGAAGAAAUUUUAUCCUGAACACAAAAAUGGUUAAAAUACCAAGCUAAUUUCAAACCAACUAUAAUCUGAUCUUCACGAUUCAAAGGACAACCACUUAAGCUCUGAUACCAAUUCAGAGAACAAACAAUUUGAUGCGUAGGGACAAGGUUUGAAAACUCAAACCUUGAGUUAAUGUUUAAGAUCAAUGUCUUCUUGCUAAGGAAUGUUCCAGUCAAGUCUGGCAAGACUAGUCAAGUCUGAGUUAAUGCAAUCAACAAAGUAUUCAAGAUAUUAAUGAAGAGUGAAGAUAAUGAUCAAGGUAAAGACAAUAAAUGAAGAACAAGAAGAAUGUUUGAGAUAAUAAUUUAGAAAGUGAAGUUAACUAAAAUAUUGCUAGAUAUAUUUGAAUAAUCUGUCACUUGAUUUAACAUUGAAUGCUCUUAUAAAUAAGAGAACAUGAUACAUCGUACUAACUGAUUACAUACAUAGGACUGGAUAAUAGAGUUACUUCUGACACUCUGAUUAUCCGUUUGACAAAAGAGACUAAGUCCUAUGACAAGUUAAAUCAAGCUAAGUGACAAAUAUCAUUAAUACAACUAGAAAAAACAUUGAUUCAGAUAGGUUAACAUUCGAACAUAACAUCUAUUCCGGAAUGCCUUCAUUUGCUUUGGAACACUAACACACACUCUUCUCUUCUCAUCCGGACACAAGUUGUUAUUCCGGACUGCACAUUUACUUCGCACCAACUUCUGUUUCGGAACUAAGACUGACUUCGGAACUCCAAAAAUGUUAGUGAUUGCUAGAGGUUCACUUUCAGGUUCCAACAGUAUAUAUAGUGAUGAAGUAGUUAAAAUACAAGGUGUAACGAUUUCGAUAAUCUCAGAUCGUGAUAGCUUGUUUACUUUAAGAUUUUGGCAAAGUUUUCAAGAUCAAAUGGGUUCUAAGAUAUCGAUGAGUACAUCAUAUCACCCACAGACGAACGGACAAAGUGAGGGCAGUAUUCAUACCAUGGAAGAUAUGCUACAUGCGUGUAUUAUUGAUUUUGGAGGUAAUUGGGACGAUUAUCUACCUUUAAUAGAAUUCAAAUAUAAUAACACUUACCACGAUAGCAUCCAAAUGGCACCCUACUAAGCUUUGUAUGGGGCUCCGUAUAGGACCCCACGUGUUGGACUGAGGCAGGAGAGAAGUCACUUGCUAAAUUGGAUGUUGGAGAAGAAACAGAAGCAAAAAUUAAAGAAAUUAGAGAAAAUAUGAAGAUAACUCAAGUCUGACAAAAGCAAUGCGCAUACAAGCGUCAGAAACCGAUAGAAUUUCAAAUUGAUGAUAUGGUAAUUUUAAAGGUCUCACCAUGGAAAUGUUUAAUUCAAUUUGGAAAGUAGGGAAAAUUAAGUCCUCAAUUUAUUGGACCAUUUCGCAUUUUCAACGUAUUGGAGUCGUCAUUUACUAUUUAGAUCUUCCCAUUAAAAUGCAAGGUAUACAUAAUAAGUUUCAUGUAUCUCAACUACGAAAAACAUUAUUUGAUGAAAAGUGAAGAAUAUUGUGAUCAUAAAUUCAAAUUGACGAAAAGUUGAGAUAUCAAGAACAAGGUGAGAAUAUUUUGUACUAUAAAGAGAAAAUGCUCUAGAAUAAGAAAAUUAGACUUGUAAAAUUCCAAUGGCGACAUCAUAAAGGAUUGGAUGUUACAUAGGAAACGGAAUCAAAUAUAAAAGAUAAAUACCCACACUUGUUUUAAUUGAUUUCGGGGACAAAAUCUUUGAAGGGUGGAUGAACCUAUAAUGAACUAAUUUGAUCGAGUAGGUAAAGGACGCGACAUAAUGUAUAAGUAUAUUUUAUAAAUUAAGGUUUUAUCUAUAGUUAUGGAGUAAUUAUGUUGUGUAAUGUCAAUUUGAAACAGCUAUUAAAAAUUACGAAAUUACAUGGCAUAAAUUAGUGAAUGAGAAGAGUUUAUAUCAAAAUUUGGGUCUCACGACGUGAGUGAGAACGGUGAUUGAGUUACAUAAAUGAAUAGUGACGACAUUGUACUUUGGCAAUGUGAUCACGUGAAGGAGGACACCUCACCACAUGAGAAAAUAUACCGCCUAAUAUUUUACGCGACGGGUCUUAUUUUGUUGUGUAAGGAAUAUGUCACUAAAGAGAGAGCUCAUAACGUGACAACAAAAGUGUCACGUCGUGAGGACGAAUCAUAGCAUAAAUUAAAUUAUGUCCAUAAGCAAGGCAUUCUUGAUCUUUACACUUCUAAAAUAUACUUUAAGGUGCGAUUUACACACACUUAUCCAUUUCAAGUUCGAUUUUGAAGGAAUAAACGGGUCUAAGCUUCAAUUUGUUGAAUCAAGGUAUGGAUAAACACUUCUAACACCAUUUUCUUUGAAUUUUGGGUGAAAUAUGAGGGUUUUUGGUUGAAACCCUAGACGAAGGGUUUGAGUCUAAUUGAUGAAAUUAGGAUCUUAAUUUAUAUAUUAUAACUUCAUUUUAGUCUAAUUCAAUGUUUAUGAACCUUGUAUGUUACUCUUGAUCUAUGAGGAUUAAGAUAUAUAUGUGAAAGAAAAGUGACUUAAUGAAUUAAGUCCUUAAAUAGUAAAUUAUGAUGUUUGUAAUGAUCCAACAAGUAGAAUAAACUUGUUAUGAGUAAUUAAUGAUUAAAAAAUAUAUAUGGAAUUCAUCCAAAAUGAAACGAGGAUGUGGUUUAUUAAAUGAGAAAUGAUGCAUAUGAGUUAAACUAUGAAAUCUAUCAUGAUAGAAAUGUUUAUGGGAUAACUAUUAUUAGGGAAGCAAGAGAAGGUACAAGCACGAUGGAAGUAAGCUUGAGAUACAAUCCAAACAAAACUUAAAGCAAGGUAAGUAAACUAAGUUUUACUUAUAAGUUAAAUUACUGAAUUUCUUGUUAUAUUUUACGUAAAUAGUGUGAUGUAUUCAGUGGCGGAUGUAGAGCAUUGGAAGUGGCGUGCAUGGACCUAAUUGAUUGUAAUUUCCACCUUAUAUAUUUUCUAUAAAAGUCAUUUGUUUAUAUCUUUUUGCAGCUAGUCCCCACUUGUUUUUUGUUGGCACCCUUUAAACAUAUAAAACUUUGUUUCUUUGUUUCUUCAAUUCUAAAACUAAACAAAACUGCCUAUUAUCUAUUUUCUAUGAAAAAAACCCCAAGAAGGAGCAAUUACAUUUCAAAAAAAUCCACCUUAUCAUUCAUAUGAUCUUAUUCAAGGUUUACAUAUAUGAAAAACCAAAUUAAAUGCAUGUACAUGAUGCUAUUAUAAUAAACAAAGGCAUCACAAUGCUUUAUCUGUGAUUUUGCAUAUAGUUUUUUAUAAAUACAAAUUUCCAGUUAUUUUUAUUUUUAUCUUUUCACUAAUAUGAUUAUAUAAUGGACAACGGUUACCAUUUUUUUUGCCGCCACUGGAUGUAUUGGUGUUGAUUAUGUCAAAGGAAAUAUGAAUGAAUUAUGUUAAACUCAGAUUGGAGUUAACAUGUAGAAAGUAUGUGAUAUUAUUGGAAUGUCUCGGAUUGGAUACAUUAAAGAAAAACGAGAUUAUGAAGAGUGUAAUUUUAGAAAUGAAGAACAUCAUAAAGAUGUGUUAUUAUUAAAAGUUCGUGUUUAUAAGACUGGUUUCUUUUAGUUAUUUAAAAUCUCAUAAUUACUCAUUUGCAUGUCAAAUUGUAAAUUUUUUAUUUCUAGGAGCAGAGCCAAAAGNNNNNNNNNNNNNNNNNNNNNUAUAUAUAUAUAUAUAUAUAGGAGUAUGAUCAAAUGAGAACACCUAAAAGGUUGAGAACGCGAGAACAGAUCUGGACCAUCUAAUUUUUAAGAUGUGUGACUAUAAUUAAUUGUUAUUUUUCUUAUUAUUAAUACAUUUAAUUUUUAAAUUUUAAAUUAAAGAAAAUUAUAAAGGCAAUUAAGGUAAAUAAGCAUUACCCUAAUUUUGUAAACUCCUAUAAUUACUCUAUGUCCCUCUAUUUUGUUGACAUAAUCUUAUAGAACGAACAAUCAACAUAUUCAUCCUUUCACCGCCUAAUCCCUACGCCACCACUCUACUUUUCUCAUCAUCGAACCUCGCCAUCCUCUUAGUUCAUUUUAUUCUUUUACCCAUCUCAUGUUUAAUGAGAAUCCAUGGCAGAUAUGCAUAAAAAGGAUGUAGAUCGAUCGAGAGAAACAACAGAUGGGUAGAGAUCAAUUGAGAGAAAGCGAAAUACAAAGACGUAUUAUUGGAAUGUGUUUCGAUUCUUUUAUCGUGCGAUAUCAAUCUUCCGGUUACUUUCAAAAUCGAAAAUUUAUAAGGGCGUCUACCUUCGACUAAUUCCACUAACCCAGGUUAGUUUCCUUGCAAUUCCAAUCAUUUACUUAGAGUUACUGUUUACGAAUCCCUAAUACGAUUUUUGGUAUCUAUUAGAGUUCAUUAUUCAAUCAAUUUUGUACGAAUUGAAGGGACCAAAUAUUUAUGAUAUUUAUGCACCGUAAGCUACUAGUUUCACCAAUUUUCAAGAUUUAUAUGACUUUCAUAUUAGUAAAACAAAGAAUUCCCGAAUUUUUUAUUGUUUAGUUUCAUUUAUUGUUAGGUUUGGGAUGUUUCCUGUGGGAAAAAUGAGGGAUUAAUUGGUGGGGCUACCAUUCAUCUCUUUAAUUUGAAAAAGAACUCAAGACAGGGAAACACAAACUUAAGCUUUGGCAAGGAAAGGAAGCAGAUGGAUCUAUUCACUCUACAACUCCACGAAAGGUUUUGUUUUUUUUCCAUGAUCUUCAAACAUAAUAUUAUGUUAUUGUGAAUAGCAGUGUAUUCAGUUGUGAAUAGCAGUGCAUUCAUGUGUGAAUGAAUGUAUUUAUUUAUGAAAGUUCUCAUUUGUUUGUGUUCAUUGAUUUCUGUAGUUUUAAACAUCGAGUUGUUAUUCUGGUGUGUGAUUUUAUCAAUUUUAUGUUAGUUUGACCCAAAAAUAUGUUGGUUGGUUGACUAUUAAGGUUCUGAGAGUACUUCUUGGAGCUCCUUUAGAGUUGUUUGAGAAGAUGAAAUGUGAAAAAUUGGAGCUAGAGGAGAAUGAAAAAUUGUAUUAUGUUCUUUAUUUUUUAGAUGUAAGUUAUAUUAUUUUUAAUGAAUUCAUUUAUGUUAGAAUGUGUAUUUAUUUAUGAAUAACACUAUAUUCAUUUGUGAAUAGCAGUGCAUUCAUGUGUGAAUGAGUGUAUUUAUUUAUGAUUAGAUGUAUUCAUUUAUUCAUUUGUGAAUAACAAGUUACUCAUUUGUUAAUAGUAGUGUAUUCAUUUGUGAAUAACAUUGUAAUCAUUUGUUAACGAGUGUAUUUAUUUAUGAUUAGAUGUAUUUUUUAUGAACAAAUGAUAAUUUUUAUACUCUUUUUAUUUUCGAUUGAUUAAAAAAAGGAAUUAGAUUACUUGUAAAUUGAUGUGUAUUAAAUUGUGAUUGGAGUAGUAUCAAGUUUUUUGAAAAAAAAAUCAAUUGUCAAUACAAAUGUAUUAAUUUGGGUUCGAUUUCUAUUAAUUUUUUUGAAAAAAAAAACGUGAAAUAGGAGAAAAAUAUUUAAUUUUUUAAGAAUUUUUUUUUUCAGUUUUAAAAAAAAAAUGGUAAAAUUGUUUUUUAUAUUCCAUUAAUAAAAAAAAAUAAAAAAUCGAAUAUUUAUUUAUUUUUUGGUAACUCACCCUAAAUUUUAGGGAAUUUGAUUGAAUUUUAAUUUAAUUAAAAUAGACAAAAUUGCAAAAAUGGUCCUUGUGGUAUGCAAAAUUUUGGGGUUUUAGUCCAAACAGUGACUUUUUUGGUUUCGUAGUCCUUUUGAGCUAGUUUCAUUGUGAAUUUGGUCCCUCAGUAAACUGAAAUGACUGUAAUACCCUUGGGGUAUUUAUUUUUCAUUUUUCUUUGAUUUUUUUAAAUAUAAUAUCUAUUUAUUUAUUUUAAUAAUUAUUUUAAUAAUAAAAAAUGGCCCACUUCUCUCUCUCUCUCUCUCUCUCUCUCUCUCUCUCNNNNNNNNNNNNNNNNNNNNNNNNNNNNNNNNNNNNNNNNNNNNNNNNNNNNNNNNNNNNNNNNNNNNNNNNNNNNNNNNNNNNNNNNNNNNNNNNNNNNNNNNNNNNNNNNNNNNNNNNNNNNNNNNNNNNNNNNNNNNNNNNNNNNNNNNNNNNNNNNNNNNNNNNNNNNNNNNNNNNNNNNNNNNNNNNNNNNNNNNNNNNNNNNNNNNNNNNNNNNNNNNNNNNNNNNNNNNNNNNNNNNNNNNNNNNNNNNNNNNNNNNNNNNNNNNNNNNNNNNNNNNNNNNNNNNNNNNNNNNNNNNNNNNNNNNNNNNNNNNNNNNNNNNNNNNNNNNNNNNNNNNNNNNNNNNNNNNNNNNNNNNNNNNNNNNNNNNNNNNNNNNNNNNNNNNNNNNNNNNNNNNNNNNNNNNNNNNNNNNNNNNNNNNNNNNNNNNNNNNNNNNNNNNNNNNNNNNNNNNNNNNNNNNNNNNNNNNNNNNNNNNNNNNNNNNNNNNNNNNNNNNNNNNNNNNNNNNNNNNNNNNNNNNNNNNNNNNNNNNNNNNNNNNNNNNNNNNNNNNNNNNNNNNNNNNNNNNNNNNNNNNNNNNNNNNNNNNNNNNNNNNNNNNNNNNNNNNNNNNNNNNNNNNNNNNNNNNNNNNNNNNNNNNNNNNNNNNNNNNNNNNNNNNNNNNNNNNNNNNNNNNNNNNNNNNNNNNNNNNNNNNNNNNNNNNNNNNNNNNNNNNNNNNNNNNNNNNNNNNNNNNNNNNNNNNNNNNNNNNNNNNNNNNNNNNNNNNNNNNNNNNNNNNNNNNNNNNNNNNNNNNNNNNNNNNNNNNNNNNNNNNNNNNNNNNNNNNNNNNNNNNNNNNNNNNNNNNNNNNNNNNNNNNNNNNNNNNNNNNNNNNNNNNNNNNNNNNNNNNNNNNNNNNNNNNNNNNNNNNNNNNNNNNNNNNNNNNNNNNNNNNNNNNNNNNNNNNNNNNNNNNNNNNNNNNNNNNNNNNNNNNNNNNNNNNNNNNNNNNNNNNNNNNNNNNNNNNNNNNNNNNNNNNNNNNNNNNNNNNNNNNNNNNNNNNNNNNNNNNNNNNNNNNNNNNNNNNNNNNNNNNNNNNNNNNNNNNNNNNNNNNNNNNNNNNNNNNNNNNNNNNNNNNNNNNNNNNNNNNNNNNNNNNNNNNNNNNNNNNNNNNNNNNNNNNNNNNNNNNNNNNNNNNNNNNNNNNNNNNNNNNNNNNNNNNNNNNNNNNNNNNNNNNNNNNNNNNNNNNNNNNNNNNNNNNNNNNNNNNNNNNNNNNNNNNNNNNNNNNNNNNNNNNNNNNNNNNNNNNNNNNNNNNNNNNNNNNNNNNNNNNNNNNNNNNNNNNNNNNNNNNNNNNNNNNNNNNNNNNNNNNNNNNNNNNNNNNNNNNNNNNNNNNNNNNNNNNNNNNNNNNNNNNNNNNNNNNNNNNNNNNNNNNNNNNNNNNNNNNNNNNNNNNNNNNNNNNNNNNNNNNNNNNNNNNNNNNNNNNNNNNNNNNNNNNNNNNNNNNNNNNNNNNNNNNNNNNNNNNNNNNNNNNNNNNNNNNNNNNNNNNNNNNNNNNNNNNNNNNAUAUUCAUUUGAGACCAUUCUAAUUUUGUGAGACCGUGAGACCAAAUCUAAAAAUAAUUUUAAAAUGCAAAAUAAAUGGAAAAAUCCAAAAAUUCUUCUUUUAAAUAUUAUUUCGGAACUUGAAUUAACUAAAAAAAUAAAAAAUAAAUAAAAAAAUAAAAAAUAAAUAAAAAAAUAAAAAAAAAUUCUGUUUUUUUGAAAAAUACGUGAAAUAUUCUAAUAGAAUAUUACACUGACAUAUUCUAAAAAAUAAUUUUAAAAUGCAGAAUAAAUGGAAAAAUCUAAAAAUUCUUUUUUUAAAUAUUAUUUUCGGAACUUGAAUUAACUAAAAAAUAAAAAUAAAUAAAAAUAAAUUCUAUUUUCUUUGAAAAAUACGUGAAAUAUUCUAAUAGAAUAUUACACUGACAUAUUCUUAAAACUAAUUUUAAAAUGCAGAAUAAAUGGAAAAAUCUAAAAAUUCUUUUUUUAAAUAUUAUUUUCGGAACUUGAAUUAACUAAAAAAUAAAUAAAAAUAAAUUCCAUUUUUUUUGAAAAAUACGUGAAAUAUUCUUAUAGAAUAUUACGCUGUACAUAUUUUAAAAAAUAAUUUUAAAAUGAAAAAUAAAUGGAAAAUCCAAAAAUUCUUUUUUUAAAUAUUACUUUCGGAGCUUGAAUUAACUAAAAAUUUUUUUAAAAAAUAAAAAAAAUAAAAAAAAUGUUAUCCUGGGUUAUUUUGAAUUAUGUAUAAUAUUAAGGUAUAUAAAAUUUUAGCUAAAAACUGUAUGGAAAAAUUUGGAUAUUUCCCCUUAGUAGACUGGUUAAUGGUUUUAUAAUCGAUCCUUUAAAAUGUAUCAAAUACAGAUGACAGGAAAUAAAAGGGUGUGCAAAAUUCAGUCUGAACUAUACUGAAACUUGUAAACUAAUACUCUCUCCGUCCCAAAAUUAUAGUCCAUCUUUUCUUUUUGGUUUGUCCCAAAAUAAUAGUCCACUUCUAAAAAUAAAUAACAUUUUUACCAAAAUACCCCUUAUUAUUAGUUAACCAACUAAGCAUUUCAUGGAACAUUAAAUGCAAAGUAAGGACAAAACUGUCAUUUUAUUAUAUAAAGUUAGUGGCAAUUAAUGUUUUUCUUAAUCUGUGUAUUUUUUGUCUGUGGACAAUAAUAUUGGGACGGAGGGAGUAACAAUUUAUAGAGAAAACGGCUCACGUUUAUUAUUAAAGGAAACAAUAAUUACAAUGAAAUUAUAUUAAUGUAUUUACAUUUGGAAUUGUAUUUGCUUCAAGGGUGGUUUAGUAUCGAAUCCUCCCUAAUAAAUAAAGAACUUUUUGUCACAUGUUAUACUUAUACUCUUAUUGAUUUGGCCACAUGUAAUUUUGUGGUUAUUUUCAAUUAAUUUUUUUCCACAUGACAUUUUGUGGUUUUUUUUUUAUUAAUUUCCACAUAAUGUUUAAAUGUAAUAAUUACAAUAAAUAUAAUAAUAAAUGCAUAUCAAUUUCAUUAAUUGAUUUCCUUCUAAUUAAAAAAAUAGACAAAUUAAUUUUAAUAAUUCAAUAUUUUUCUAUUUUUUUUAUUAUAAAUUCAAAUUUAUCAAAUAUUUAUAAUUUAAUAAUUUUUUCUUUAAAAUGAACCCAUGUAAUACAUGGGUCUUACACCUAGUUUGUUAUAAACCAGAACCAAAGUANUAUAUAUUGAUUUUACGUUAAGUCAAGUUUCAAGCAAAUGCACAACCCUAAUAUCACAUGCUCACACUUUUAUACAAACGCAAUUGUUCAAGAACUUUCCUUUUAAAGACAAACAAGUUGUACUCGAAUGACACCUCAUGUUUGAAUAUAAAAAAAGUAGGACCGUUUAAAAACCUUUAAAUAUGGUGGAGUGUGUGUCUGAAAAAGAAUGAAAUUAUACGUUAAUGAUAUCAUCAAACAUGAAAUGAUUGAUGAAUCUUUUACAGAGUUUCAUAAUUAAGCUACAAAUACUUUAAGGUUACAUUUUUUUUUUGUAUGACUGUAGAAAAAUUGAAUAAGUUUUGAGGUAAUUUUCUAUUUUAUAUAUUUUACACAUUCAAGAUAGCGAAUCUUUAUCCCACCUUCUGGAUAAAAAAAACUACAAAUUUUUUUUAUUUAUAGUUCAGUUCAAUACACGUCAAACACAGAAUAACAUGCCAUUAACACAUGAAAUGUUAUAUUGUUCGGAUAAUUAAACAAGUUGUUAUUUAUGUUUGAUGAUAAAAUAUUGAAACUUCUAUACCAAUGUUACAAGUUCUUAUGCAUAAGAUACAACAGGACCUACAUACCAAAAUUGAGAGAAAUAAAAGUAGAGGUGUGGCAAACUAGCAUGGCUUUGAAUAUUGAUAGAGAUAUGUUUGUAUUUUUGUGAUUAUUUGGUCCUUGAGAGUUUGGUUUGCUCGUUUACUAGUCAAUGCUAUGAGCUGGCUCCUUUGCCAUUUUACGCUACUAUGAGUUGUACCUUUCCCCACACUAACACUAUCGUGUAAAUAUAACGCGUAAAGGGGUUAAAACGGUAUGAUUUUGACUGGUUUAAAACAUAAAAAUCUCAAAUUGAUGAAUACCAAUUUUAUUAGAUUUGCUUGAAUCAAUCUUUUCGUAAAAGACUACACGUAACAAGUAUCUUGAAAAAAGAAACAUAAAAAUAAGUUAAAAACUAAAUGAUGUAGGGUUUCAAUUCAAUGUGGUUUCAUUUAGUGGUGGAGCUAUUAGAAUGACAGGUGGGUGUUAAUGCUAACUGAGAGUAUCUUCGAUAGUUGAGUUAUCAUAUAGCUUAAAUUAUCGUUACCUUAUUAUUCUAUUAACUUUAAUCUCUAAAUAAAUUAUUUUUUCAAUGGUUAACUUUUUCCACUAAUUUUUUCUUUAAAUUUAACUAGUCUAUCCUUAUCUAUUUAAAAUGUUCUAUAUAACCUCUCCAUUUAGUUAGUUAUUUUUAAACACACAUAGUAUUAAACGUAUUCUUAUAAUACCUCUAAAAAUUCGUAAAAUGUCACAAAAUAUUUCACAGAUAAAUUAUAUAAAGUGACAAUUCAAAUUAACUACUAAAUAAAUAAAUAAAUUGAAAACUAAAAUAUAAUAAAUGAGUAAAUUAAAAUAUUAAUAGAAGAUGAAGGGGUAAAAUAUACAAGAUGUUAAACUAUAUUGACCACUCAAUAUAUAUUGAAUGGUCAAUAAAAAUAAGCAACAAAAUGGUAUACUCCAAUAGGAAUAAGUGCGCAUUUAUAAAAAAUCAAUAGUAAUUAUCUACAAAAAAAAAAUAAUAAAAAAAAAAAAUAAAAAAAAAACCAUUGGAGAUGCUCAAGGCUCCAAAUUCAUCUAUUUUAAUUUUUACUAUACCUAAAACCCACUAUUUAUUUUUAGUCUCCUUUAUUCUAAAAACGAUCUCUUUUAAUCCGUUUUUAUUCAAAACUAGGCGAAUGCUCGCGCGUUGCGCAGAAACAUCUAUAAGCCUGAAAUCUUCACAAAUAUAUGUUUUUUUAAAUCUAGCAAUAAUGUCGUUGUUAAAUUUGAUAUAAUAACUUGUAUGCUAAGUUGAUAUAGUAUAUUGAUUAUUUUGAAUUAUAUGAUAAUAUAUACAUAUAUUAAAACUGUAUAAUCUCAAUCUUUUGAAUGACCUCUACCUACGGUUACUUAUGAAUAAAAUUAAAUAUAAUAUAUGGUUUAAUAUUAUUUAUAGUUGUUGUUAUUGUUAAUUCAUUUUUAAAAUUUAUUUGUUUAACGUUUUUAAUUUUUAUCAGUGUAAUUAUUUAAAACAUCACAUUUUUUUUUAUUUUAAAGGUAACAAUAUAAUUAUUUAUAUAGAGUUAUUUUUAACUAUUGUUAUUGUAUGUUAUUUUAAGCUAUUUAUUUCAAAACUUUUAACGAUUAUAAAAAUAUCUUUAGGAAAUAUUUUAGUGAAUUGAUAUUACAAUUUAGUUUUUGCAUUUAGCACUAUAAUUUAUCAGUUUUCACAAUUCACAAAAUAUUCUUUGAGUUUUUUUAAGUGGAACUGAAAUUUAUAUUGAAGUUGACCCUGUAAUGUUAUAUUUAAAGUAACAAUUUAAGUAUUUUGUCCAUCCAGUUCAAAAGUUGUAGCUUUAAACUGAUAAUGGUUUACAUACAACAACAUAUUAAAUCUAAUAAAUUAAGUAUAAUAUGUUAAAUGUUAAAGACAUAACUUUAUAAAUAGAAGUAAAAAUAUUAUUUUAAUAUCGAAAUUCAGUUUAUUUUUAUUACACUUUAGGUUUGAUACUUAUUUAUCCUUAUUAACCAAUUUAUAAUCAUUAUUAGAAAGACAUUACACUUUAUCAUUUCUAACUAUUUACAAAAUAUUCUUUGAGUUGUUUAAGUUGAACUAAAUUUUAUAUUUAAGUUGAUCAUGUAAGGUUCUAUUUAAAUUAACAAUUUAAGUAUUUUAUACAAAUUGAUUAAAAGUUGUAGCUUUAAAAUGAUAAUGGUUUACAUACAACAUAUUAGACCUAAUAAAUUAAAUAUAAUAUGUUAAAAGUUAAAAAAAAACUUUAUAAGUGGAAGAAAAUAUAUUUUUUUAAUAUUGAAAGUUAGUUUAUAUAUGAUUACACUUUAGGUUUGAUAUUUAAUUAACCUUAUUAACCAACUUAUAAUAAUUAUUAAAAAGAAAUUGAAAAGUCAUGGGAGUUUCAAAUGAAUGUGGUUCAAGAAAAAAUGCAAGCUUUAUAAGUAUACUAGGCGAAUGCCCACGCGUUGCGCAGAAAGACAUAUGUAGUUGAAAUCUUUACAAAUAUAUAUUUUUUUUAAAUAUAACAAUAACAUUGUUGUUAAAUUUGAUAUAAUAAUUUGUAUACUAAAUUCAUAUAAUAUAUUGACUAUUUUGAAUUAUAUGAUAACAUAUACAUCUAUUAUAACUGCAUAAUCUCAAUCAUUUGAAUGACUUCUACCUGCGAGUUACUCAUGAAUAAAAUUAAAUAUAAUAUAUGGUUUAAUGUUAUUUAUAGUUGUUGUUAUUGUUAAUUAAUUUUUUUAAAAUUUAUUUGUUUAACGUUUUAAUUUCUAUCAUUAUAAUUAUUUAAAACAGCAAACAAUUUUUUUUUGAUUUUAAAGGUAACAAUAUAAUCAUUUAUAUAGUGUUAUUUUUAACUAUUGUUAUUAUAAGUUAUUUUAAGCUACUUAUUUGAAAACUUUUAACGGUUAUAAAAAUAUUUUUAGGAAAUAUUUUAGUUAAAUUGAGAUUACAAUUUAGUUUUUGCAUUUAGCACUAUAAUUUAUCACUUUUAAUUAUUCACAAAAUAUUAAUUGGAUUUUUUAAGUCGAACUGAAAUUUAUAUUUAAGUUGACACUGUAAUGUUAUAUUUAAAUUAACUAUUUAAGUAUUUUGUCCAAACUGUUCAAAAGUUUUAGCUUUAAAAUAAUAAUGGUUUACAUACAAUAACAAAUUAAAUUUAAUAAAUUAAGUAUAAUAUGUUAAAAGUUAAAGUCAUAACUUUAUAAGUAAAAGUAAAGAUAUUAUUUUAAUAUUGAAAUUUAGUUUAUUUAAGGUUACACUUUAGGUUUGAUAUUUAUUUAACCUUAUUAACCAAAUUAUAAUCAUUAUUAGAAAGACAUUACAAUUUAUCACUUUUAAUUAUUUAUAGAAUAUUUUUGGGUUGUUUAAAUUAAUCUAAAAUUUAUAUUUAAGUUGACCAUAUAAUAUGAUAUUUAAACUAAUAAUUUAAGUAUUUUAUACAAACUGUUUAAAAUUUAUAGCUUUAAAAUGAUAAUGGUUUACAUCCAACAAUAUAUUAAAAUUAAUAAAUUAAGUAUAAUAUGUUAAAAGUUAAAAAANNNNNNNNNNNNNNNNNNNNNNNNNNNNNNNNNNNNNNNNNNNNNNNNNNNNNNNNAGUUUAUAUAUGAUUACACUUUAGGUUUGAUAUUUAUUUAACCUUAUUAACCAAUUUAUAAUCAUUAUUAGAAAGAAAUUGAAAAGUCAUGGCAGUUUCAAAUGAAUGUGGUGAAAGGAAAAAUGCAUGGGAGUUUCAAAUGCAUGAGAUUCAAGAAAAAAUGCUAGCUUUAUAAGUAUGUAUGAUGUAUGAUAAUGAAUCCAAAUGUAUACAUUAAGUUAUUACAAUAUAAUCCUCCUAAUUCAUCUAUUUAAAUUUUUACUAUACCUAAAACCCACUAUUUAUUUUUAGUCUCCUUUAUUCUAAAAACGAUCUCUUUUAAUCCUUUUUUUAUUCAAAAAUNNNNNNNNNNNNNNNNNNNNNNNNNNNNNNNNNNNNNNNNNNNNNNNNNNNNNNNNNNNNNNNNNNNNNNNNNNNNNNNNNNNNNNNNNNNNNNNNNNNNNNNNNNNNNNNNNNNNNNNNNNNNNNNNNNNNNNNNNNNNNNNNNNNNNNNNNNNNNNNNNNNNNNNNNNNNNNNNNNNNNNNNNNNNNNNNNNNNNNNNNNNNNNNNNNNNNNNNNNNNNNNNNNNNNNNNNNNNNNNNNNNNNNNNNNNNNNNNNNNNNNNNNNNNNNNNNNNNNNNNNNNNNNNNNNNNNNNNNNNNNNNNNNNNNNNNNNNNNNNNNNNNNNNNNNNNNNNNNNNNUAAACUAGAAUAUUAAAAAAAACACUAUAAUUUUUUUAUCCAAAAAAAUCUACGUUUUAGGUGCAUAUAUGAAUAUUUUUUUUCUAGUGAGUAUUUCUAUGUAAUCAAUAAAGACAAUAGUACACGCAUUAUAUUCGAUAAGAUAAUAUAAUAUAAAAAAAAUGUUACAAAAAUACAUAUGUAUAUAUCAUGUAAGAUUCGCAUGUGAUUAUAUAAUGUAAGAUUUACAUGUGAUUAUAUACUAUAUGUGAUUAUAUAAUAUUAUAUUCACAUGUGAUUAUAUCUUCUAAUAUUUUUAUAUGAAUUACAUGUGAAUCAUAUAUAGUUCAUAUGUGAUUCACUUGUGAUUUAUAUGUAAAUUACAUGUGAUUCAUAUGUGAAUUACAUGUGAGUCACAUGUAAUUCAUAUGUGAUUCACUUGUGAUUUAUAUGAAUCACAUGUGAUUAUAUAAUGUAAGAUUCACAUGUGAUUAUAUACUAUAUGUGAUUAUAUAAUAUGAUAUUCACAUGUGAUUAUAUCUUAUAAUAUUUAUAUGUGAAUUACAUGUGAUUUACGUGUGAGUCACAUGUAAUUCAUAUGGGAUUCAUAGGGCUGUGCAUGAGUCGGUUUGGGUCGGUUUUGGACCCCAACCCAACCCAACCCAACCCGUAAAUAAUCGGUUUCUGGUUUUCUGAACCCAAUAGGGUUGGUUUCUGGUCGGUUCGGUUUCUCGGUUUCUGAUAUCGGUUUGGACGGUUUCUCUGUUUCUUGGGUUCAACCCAUACACUUACGGUUUCUGGGUUUAAACCCAUGGGUUUUGGGUUUGAACCCAUUUUCCAGAAAUGCAACAAUUAGUCAAAUAAUUAAAAAACAUCUAAAGCUUCUUUUAUUUAUUUUUAUUAUAUAUAUAUAUAUAUAUAUAUAUAUAUAUAUCUANNNNNNNNNNNNNNNNNNNNNNNNNNNNNNNNNNNNNNNNNNNNNNNNNNNNNNNNNNNNNNNNNNNNNNNNNNNNNNNNNNNNNNNNNNNNNNNNNNNNNNNNNNNNNNNNNNNNNNNNNNNAAAAAUAACAUAUAUAUCAUAAUCUAUAAUGUAAUACAUUAGUGUGUGUGUGUGUAUAUAUAUAUAUAUAUAUAUAAACAUAAAAUAAUUAGUAAAAAGCAUCGGGUUUGCGGGUUUGCUGGGUCGGUUUCUCGGUUUUAAAGAGGGGUCGGUUUCUUGAGUUGUUGGGUCGGUUUCUGGGGGCAAAACCGAAACCGAACCCAGAAAGUCUGUUUUUACAAAUUUAAAACCCACACCGUCGGUUUUGAUUCGGUUUCGGUUUUUUCGGUUUCGGUUUCGUCGGUUUCUCGGUUUCUUGGUUCGGGUUUGCUCACCCUAGUGAUUCACUUGUGAUUUAUAUGAAUCACAUGUAAUUUAUAUGUGAUUCACUUCUGAUUUACAUGUGAAUUAUAUAUGAUUCAUAUGUGGUUUACAUGUGAGUUACAUGUAAUUUAUAUGUGAUUCACUUGUGAUUUACAUAUGAAUCACAUGUAAUUCAUUUAUGAAUUAUAUGUGAUUUACAUGUGAAUCAUAUGUAAUUUAUAUGAGAUUCACUUGUGAUUUACAAAUGUAAUUUAUAUGUGAUUCAAUUUUGAUUUAUAUAUGAAUCACAUGUAAUUUAAAUUAUAAAAUUAAAAAAAUGAUGAAAACAAUAUAUACCAGUAUGGCCUUUUGUAACGAGGCGCCAAUUAAUAACACAAGGCCACACAACACUAAGUAUCUCAUUGAAUAAUAUGCCAUCUGAUAAACCCUUGUCUCGAACAAUGAAAAUUAAUAUAAUUUAUAUAUUAUAUAAAUAUAUUUAAUUAUAAAUUUAUAAUAUAGAGUUUAUUUUUAUAAUACCUUGAAGCUCUUCAUACAGCUCUGGCUUCCAGUGCUUCUGACUUUGGUAUUAGCCCAAUUUAAAAUAUCAACAUUAUUGAAUUCCUUACCAAGUGAAUAAGAUCUUAAGUACUUGAGAAGUUGUAGGAUGUUGAAUCGCAUCAAUUGCCAUAAAUAAGCUUGAAAAGAAAGUAGAGUUACCAUUUUACCAUUUUCAUCACCGAAAGCUAAGAGCACCCACACUGGUGCCAUAUUAAGGUCAUGUUAAUGGUGGACAACUCAUCAUUAUUCAUCCAUUUUUAGAAAGAGAAACUAGUGGGCCACUAUAAAAGUAUUUGCAAGCCUUUCAUAUAUAGGAAGAUGAAGUCCUAGGUGGCCUUAAAUUAUUGCGCAAUAACAUUGUAAUUAUACUUGAAAGACCCGAUGUUGAUGGUCUAACAAAUAAAACAUCGGUUCAAAGUAAACUUACCAAGUAUUAGUUUUUUAUUCCACUGACCAAUAUCAUUUCCAACAAUACUGACUAAUGAUAACUUCAUCUGUUUCCCAAUUUUAACAACUUGGUUACAGUUUUCUAGUUUUUUGAAGGGCAUUUCAAUCAGAGGAUUAUUUGCAACUUUCAAAUUAACAAUUUCUAGUGAUACUUUGUCAAGUGCCUCUAGUAAUACUCACAUAAAGGAAACAAUCAAUGAAAUUAGUCAAAUUACACUGUUAUUAUUAAGUAUAUGGUAAUAAAUAAUAGUUAUAGAUUUGAUACUCACCCAUUUAUGAUAUCUUCAAAGACAUUGUUUAUAUAAGAUGCAACUCCAAGACUAUUUAUGCAAAAACAAAAAACACUUUCUUCUCUAGUGAUUUGGGCUUCAUAUGGUGAAAUUUCACGGAAAGAUACUAGUUUUUCUAGGGUUGAUAGACCAUUCCUACAAAUUACAAUUAUUGCAAUGUUAAAUCAAUAACAAAUUCUAAUUCUGUUUUUUGUUUUAUGAAAUAAAAAACUCACCUGUGUAGGAAAAUAUGAGCCACAAAUGCAAGGUUAAGAUUAGGAGAGCCCUCUACAAUGCCUUUAGCUGUUAAGUAACGACUUCAAGGGGCUUACCUCCAUAUAAAUAACAAGGACCUGGAUCUUUGACUUUAAUGAAAACUUCUUCUUUGUUUCCUUGAAGAUUUCCAUCUCGCAUGUCCCAUCAACAUUGAAGGCAAAUGUCAUAUGACAAGAAGGGUAGCUUCGAUGUGACAUAUUUAGUACCUAAAAUAAAUUUUAAUAUAAUCAACAAAAUUAAAAACUCAAAACUACAGACCAAUAUCAAUUUGAAUGUAAAACUACACACGAAGGAAAGCAUAUGUACACUCGAUAUCAAUAUGCAUGUAAAACAAUCAAUCAUCCUAAUUCAUAUCAAAAAAAUCGAUUAUUAACCUGUACCAUAUAUGAAAAAGUUGUCAAUUACCAAGAACCAUAGCUUGAUAUUCCAUUAGUAGAUUGGAUACCCUAACAUCACCGACUCACAGAGUACAUUAGACGAUUUGUUGAACAGUUGGCGUGCAAUCGCUAAUGUCAAAUAGAUUACGAUCAAAAUGACAAAGCACAACGAUGAAAUGGAGAUACAUCAAUUAGAAAGCAAAAAAAUUGAUAAAAGUAACAACAAAAAACUUGAAUUCUCAUAUAUAAAUAACCUGCGUAAAACUAGAAGAUGUCUCAUAACCACUAUGUUUUACGCUCGUAACCGCAUCAAAUCCGUCUGAGAGUGUCGACCUCGUUGUAGUCAUCGAGAGGAUUCGAUGAGAUUUUGUCAAGGCUAGGGUUGACAAUGGCGAUAAAGACAAUGAUGAUGAACAUCAGGUCCUGUUUUGUAGAGAGAUAAGCAUGAGAGCUAGGAUCUAGAGAGAGAAAGUGAAAUUGAGAGAGCAUUUUUGUGGCAGGAAAUUGAAGCAACGUUGCAAAAGCUCUCUCACAUGGAGGAAGGUGGAAUACCAGAGGAAAGCAAAGAUUUCAACCCUAUGCAAACCGUAGGUAGCCACUCUUUAACAAAAUCCCCAAUGGUGAGGUACAAAUCACCAGCCUCAUCUACAACAUUGUCAUACAACACAUUUCUGAUCAACUUCUCCGAUCAGAUCCUCUGUAUAAAUCCCAAAUUCACAUAAUGAGAAAAAACAUGGGUGGAUGCAGUUCGAUCAAUCCGGGCCCUUCCUUUUCGAGUUGGCAGUACCUGAAACAUAAACUGAAAAUUGUAAGCACAAAGCUUAGUGAGCUCCUCCAAAAUACCCCACACCAUACAUAUAUUUAACAUUCAAGCAUAAUUGGGUCUAUUUCAACCCCUUCAGUCUCUUUCAACCGGCACUGAGUCUAUUUUUAACCCCUUCGGUCUCUUUCAACUGGUACUGGGUAUAUUUCAACCUCUUCGGUCUCUUUCAACUGUUACUGGGUAUAUUUCAACCUCUUCGGUCUCUUUCAACUGGUAUUGGGUAUAUUUCAACCCUUUCGGUCUCUUUCAACUAGUAUCGGGUCUAUUUCACCCCUAAAGCUAGCAUAUAAUCAUAAUAGUAAGAGUUACAAAGACAUCACAAGUAAUUUUCAUGAAGACAAUCAUCAUCCUACAAACAUAAUCUAGUGGUUCGGCAUUGGUGCCUUCGACCCACUAGUACAGUGAAGGGAACUCAACUUUCGAUCGAUAAUCAACUACUACUGCUCUCACGGUCAGCUACACUAGUGCUUCACCACACCUAGAUAAUCAUACAAGGAAAACCUUCAGUCUACCCUUCAAAACCAAGAGUUGACCAAAAGUCAACUCUUAUAAAAAGUCAACGCCUAAGGUCAAUGGUCUACAAUCCUAUCAGUUCACCCUUACAUCGUGACUUGUUCUCUGGUCACGUCGUGAGAAUGGACUUGACCCGGACCCAUUCAGUGAGUCGACUCAGUCACAACUCAUCCAACCAGAUUCCUCAGAUCGAUACAACCUCACUUCUCACAUCAUGAGAUUCCUAUUUCUCGCGUCGUGAGAUAUGUUUUGACCAACUUGGAGCAUUAAGCUCUUAAUCCUUUAAGACAUUCAUUGGGACUUUCUAGAAGACCUUCCUCGAUCAUAAGGACUAUAAAAAUUGUAGCUUUUUGGUCAUGCAUGUCCAAUGCAUGACAUAGAUACUAACUAGGUCAAAAGAAAGGUAAUAAGAUCAAGACUCAUACUUGGAGUCUAAAACCAUCACCAAAACUCAUACCCAAAGCCUCAUAUACAAAAGAUGUCUUAAGGAUCCAUAAAGUUGCCAAGUUUAUGGAUCCCAUGCAUACUACACAACCCAACCAUGCAAAGAAAGCUCUCACAACCAAGAUCUAACAUGCAAGAGACUAAAAGGUAAGAGUUUUAUGACCUAUAGAGGUCCAAAAGCUCAACAAGACCAAGAGGUAGAAGCUAGAUUGCCAAAAUGAAGCACCACAAGAGUCCUCUUCCCUUCAAUAGGCCAAAAACCACCAAAUAAGCUCUUCAAGGUCACCAACAAUGGCCAAAAGUCUCAAGGAGGUCGAAUCUAGGGUUUUUAGGAGGCUUGAGAGUAAGAGAGGCUAAGGAUGGGCAACCUUAGGUCUCUUAUUCCAUUAAAUAAUCGACAAUUAGGGUUUUGGAUUGUCAGACCUUUCUCAUGUCGUGAGGCCUCAAGCUUACGUCGUGAGGUUCAAGAAUAUGGGUCAAAUGGUCAAUGUUCAUUCACGUCGUGACCACCAUGUCUCACGUCGUAAGACCUCCUCCCAAAAUGCGAGAAUUCAAUAAAUUAAGUACCCCAAAGAUUCAGAUGCUACAAAUCCCCUCACUUGAAUCAGACUUCGCCCUUGAAGUCGCCACUGCAAAUAACUCUAGAUAAUGCUCACUCAUUUCAUCCUCAGACCUCCAUGUCCAUUUUGAACCCUUUUGAUGCUGUAAGUGCACCUUCACCGAUGUGACAACCCGAAAUUUCCAUUGUACGAACCUCAUCGAUUCAAUAGAAGCUAGUUCAGUUUCUGUGAAUUUCAAGCUUGUCCGAACAAACUUUGUGUACAUUAGGGUUUAUGUUUUAGAUGAUAUCAGGAGAGUGGAUACUCCUGGUUUUGUGAAACUUGGGCAUUUCAAGUUUCAUACUGUUACAGUCCAACAUCAGGAAUGAAAAUAUUUUCUGCCAAAAUAUUCCAGGACUAUAAAUAGUUUUCUGAAUUAAAUUAAUUCAUUAUUCACAAUUCCAAAUAGAGAAAAGCCAUAUUCUCUCUGACGGAUCUUCGGGUUUUCAUCCCAGAUUGUGAGUCUACUUUUCUAUAUGUGGUUGAGAGGCGGAAUCGAACCUUGUUGGACAUGGUUCGUUCCAUAAUGAGUCGAGCUUCGUUACAAAUCUCAUUCUAGGGGUAUUCCUUGGAUACUGUCGCCCAUAUCCUUAAUCUAGUCCCUACCAAAAAGGUUGCCAAAACUGUGACAUCCCCAUUUUCAUGGCCAGAAAAGACCGAUUUUGUUUAUGCUUAAUUAAGAUCAAAGUACUUCUUUUAAUAAAAAUGUUGCAGAAUUUGUUCCCAAAAAAACAUGAUAAAUGUGUUAUCAAAGCAUUUCCGAAGAAAUAUAUUUUUAUUCCUUUUAAAACCUUGGGAUGUCAUCGUCAAUAUAGAAACAUAAGCAUAAGUAGAACUUACAUUCCUUUACACUAGUGAUCUACAUCUCUUUUAUAUCUCUCAGUGUAAAGUAGCUUCGUAUCGACACCUGUGAUACAAAUAAGCUUGAGUGGGUCAGGUUGGGAAACCCGGUGAGUACAUAGGGUUUUCAACCCACAAUAAUAUAAUUAUUAUGUUUAAACAUCAACAAUCAACCAAACUACCCAUCCCCAUUAUCUUCCUUACUCUUAAGGAUCUACACUAAUAAUCAUUUAUCCUGCAUUUGUUCAUUUCGAAGCCCAUUACUUCCAGGGUUUAUAUGAUAGGCACUAAGUCCAUAGUUGCCAAUGUUUAUUCGUAAAGCACUAAUUCCUUAGCUACUAAAGUUCAUUCAUCUGGUACUAAAUCCAUAGCUACAAGUGUUCAUCUAAUAGGUACUAAAUCCAUAUCUACCAAUGUUUAUCUAACAGGUACUAAGUCCAUAGCUACCAACGUUUAUUCAAAUGCCACUAAGUCCAUAUUUGCCGAUGUUAUUUAUUAGGCACUAAGUCUAUAGUUGCCUAUGUUCACUCAUAUCAUCCUUCAUCUCUCAUCUUUCAUCUACCCAUGUUUUACCCAAAAUAUUCAUGGAUAUAAAAUACAUAUACAUUUUAAAUCAUUUAAAACUUGUAUAAAAUCGUUCAUCCAACAUAGAUAGCAAGUAUACAGAUAAUAUGCACACAUAGCACGUAGUUUAUAUAAAAUACUUCAUAUCUAUAUGUAAUAUGGAAGUAACUAUGCACUCACUUGUUAAAUUGAUGAUUCCAAACUCGGACAGCUAUGACAUCCCCAUUUUCACGGCCAGAAAAGACCGACUUUGUUUAUGCUUUGUUUGAAAAUCAGAGUAACAUUUUAAAUAAAAGUGUUGCGGAAUUUGUCCAAAAACAAAAUAUGAUAAAGAUUUAUCAAAAGCAUUUCCGAGGAAAUGUAUUUCAUUAAAAGACUUGGGAUGUCAUGUUUGAUACAGAUCAAAAGCAUAAACAGUACAAUAUAAGCCUUACUACAUUAUUUCGUAUCUACAGGCCUAUAUCCGUAAUCCCUCAUCCCAAAACAUCACAUCUAUGCUCAUGCGCCACUACCUGUAAUACAAGAAACUGAGUGGGUCAGGCUGGGGAGCCUGGUGAGCACAUAGGGUUUUCAAUCCACAAUAAAUAAGUUUAUUAAUUUCAUCAAUCAACAAUAACCCGAUUACCCGUUCCCGUUAUCCUCACUUUACGUCCCUAAACACCUAUCAUAAGGGACCUAACCUAAGGAUCAUCAUCGGGAUGGACACUACUGCUAAGGGGAUUCCUUAGCAAUAAAUGUCCUAAAGGCAACCAUGUGGGGGAUGGAGUACACCGGUGAACACAUCGUUCACAAACACCUACAGGUUGCGAGCCUGCUAGUGUUCCACUGGACUGUCUAGAAGAGUCCGUGGUCGUCAUCCAUACUCCGCUAGAUGACAGAAUCAACAACAUCAACAUCGAGGCCUCUCAUCAUUUUAUCACACAUCACCUAUUACAUCUACCCAUGUUUUACCCCAACAUUUUCGUAGAUAUAAAAUACAUAUACAGUUUAAAUCAUUGAAAACAUGUAUAACAAUGUUCAUCCAGCAUAGAUAGCAAGUAUUCAGAUAAUAUGCACACAUAGCACGUAAUUUAUAUAAAAUACUUCAUAUCUAUGUGUAAGCUGAAAGUAACUAUGCACUCACCUGAAAGGUGGUGACUCAGCACUCGGACGGCGCUUCGAUACUCUCAAAACGAUUUUCCUUCGAUAAAACCUAGUACCAAUACCACUAGGGUUUAGUCUAACGAUAACUGCGACAAUUUAAUUAGUCUGACUAUUAUUAUAAUUAUAUAAGCGUUAAUAACACUCAAUAUAACUCAUAAUAAUAGCCCAAAUAAUUAUUUUAAGGACCUAAUAUCAUUCCUAUAAUUAUUUGAAAGCUAUAUUAAAAAUUACGUAAGCGUAGCUCACUUACAGCGUAUUUUAACGAAAACUGGAACUUUAUUUGAAGCAGCGUUUUGAAACCGAAAGGCUCUUUUNAGACUCCUUUUUCUCGAGACUCCGGGAGCCUCGGGGCUUCUUUAGGGUGCUAGGGGGUUUAUCUAGGGUUUAGGGGUGGUUUGGGGUCUUAGAGAGAGAAAGAGAUUUGGUGUGAAAAAUGAAGCUGCCUUCGCUGCCUUUUUAUAGCCUGCGAGGCCUCGGUACGCUGGGCGUACCUCAGACCUACGCUGGGCGUAAUGGCUCGGUCGUACUACACGCGACGCUUCGCUGCUGGGUCAUCGUGGCACUCCUCCGAACCGCUCAAUCCGAAGUCAGCUGGGCGUAGCCUUCUUCCGACGCGGGGCGUACUCGGACGCAGGGCGUUCCUGUCGUACGCGAGGCAUAGCGAGGCCAGGUGUCCAAAUCCGAAGACCAGACCGUGAUCCGCAAGCUACGGCCCUGAUCGAGCCACGUCAUCACCCAUUGCACUAGCUUCGCAAAUUCGAGUUACAACUUCAAAAAUUCGUAACUUUUGUGUACGACCUCCGUUUUCAACGUUCUUUAUAUCCACACGAAGGUGGGAACGUACUCUACAACUUUCGUUUAGACUCCGUCGGCUAAUUUUGACUCGAUUUUAAAUUUUAUUUUAUUAACAGGCCGGGACAUGAUUGGUCCGUUAAAUCCUCAUAACUUCUUCAUCCGACGUCCGUUUUCGCCCAUCCUUUUCUCGUUACGCUACUCUUAACGAGAUCUUCGAUUCUCGUUUAGGUCGUGUUGGUUAAAAAUCACUCGAUCUAAUAUUCGAAUUUCGGGCUGUACACUACUAAUCCGAAACUUCGAAAAAUCAUAACUUCUUCAUACGAAGUCAGAUUUGGGCGUUCUUUUUAUCGAUGUUCUUAGUUUAACAUAUUCUACGAAUUUCGUUUAGAUCGCUAAGGCUAAAUCUCGCUCUAUCGUAAAUUAACUAUUUACGCUUCCCGGUAUCGUGUCGGUUCUGUCGCGAAACUUCGACGGGUCAUAACUUCUUCAUUAUAACUCGGAUUUCGGUUCUGUCGGGCUUAUCUCACACUUUAAUUUUGAUGCUUAUUUUUAUUCUGUAUUAAGUAUACAUUUAUAAUUAAAUAUAUAAACACAUAAACACACAUAAUUCACAUAAUACUCAAAUAUUUCAUCUUUAUUACUUCAAAAAGAGUUACAAUUGUUGACCUAGACUAUUACAUCGACAAAUAUGCUUAGCCCUGAAACCCGGGCGUUACAACAGCGCUUCGCUUCUAACGAUUCUAUUUUUCCUUCGACGAAACCUAGCAUUAUUAUCGCUAAGUUUUUAUAGUAUAAUCUUUAUUGUGACUCAUUAACUCAAAGUCUACUUCAUGAUCUAUCAAGUAAGGAACAACCACGUAGGAUCAUAUCAGAGGUAAGGUCCGUUUGGUAUACGAAAUAUAUUGUUUGGAAAUCCCACUUUAAACACCUCACUAAAUCACAACCUAGACAUCAUUCCCGUAAGUAGAUCAAUCAGUAUAACAACUUUGAAUCACUGAUAAAUCUUAUUUCUAGGUUCAUAAUAAUGAUAUUAUAUUUAAAUAUAAGAUAUAUUUAAAGUAUGGUAGGCUUAUUUGACUUACGGCGGGUUUUAUUAAAAACCGGGCUCCGCUGGAGCAAAGCUUCUAAGCCGAAAAGCUCUUUUUCUCGGAGCCUUCGUGCACUCCAAGGCUUUCUUCUAGCGCUAGGGAAGUUUUGUAGGCUUUAGGGGGGGGGGGGUUAGGGAGUCUAGAGAGAAGUUAGAUAGAAAAAGAAAGGCUUAUGGUGUGAAGAAAAUAUGAAGAGUUCAUCUCUUAUUUAUAGGGGUUUUAUCGUAGAGUAGGCCCUAAAUUUUGUCCGCAUCUUCCGCUUACGAGCUCCGUUUUCUACGUUCUUUGUAUCCACGCGUUGGUAUUUAUGAUUACUACAACUUUCAUUUAGACCUCGCCGACUAAUUCUCAUUAUAUCUCCGAUUUGCAAACCUGUAUCGAAUUUAUCACGCUCGAAGAGUAGGGACUAAGUUUCAUCCAUAUCUUUUUCAUACGAGCUCUAUUAACGACGUUCGUUAUAUCCACACGUUGUUAUUUACAAGUAACACAACUUUUAUUUAGAUGCCGUCGGCUAAUUCUCACUAAAUCUCAGAUUUACAAAACUGUAUCGAAUUCGCCGCGCUCGAAGAGUAGGGACUAAUUUUCGUCCAUAUCUUUUGCAUACGAGCUCCGUUUCCGACUGUCUUUUUAUUUUUGAACUCCUAUUAACGAUAUCUUCAUUUCUCGUUUAGACGUUUUUGGUUAAAAAUCGACCGAUCUAAAAUUCGAAUUUCGGGUUGUGCACUCCUAUGCUAAAUCUUAGAAAAAUCGUAACUUCCUCAUACGAAGUCAGAUUUGGACGUUCUUAUUAUGCACACUCCCGGUUUAACAUAUAAUAUGACUUUUGUUUAGAUUGCUAAGGCUAGAAAGUAUUUUAUCAUAAAUUCACUUUUUACGAUUCUCGGUGUCGUUCCGGUUUUGCCGUAAAACUUCGACGGGUCAUAACUUCUUCGUUAUAACUCGGAUUUCGGCGUUCUUUAUAUGUACGGAACCCUUGUGACAUAUACUAUAACCAGGUUAAGAUUAAUACUUCUAAAUAAUCUUCCAUCAAAAAGUCAUUUUUGACGCUCAUUGUCUCUAAAUUGACUAGCUCGAAUCUGAAGGCGUUAAAGAAACACAUCACGAGAUGUGGAGUAGGAAGGAUCCCAUAUUUGAUCACAUAAAGGUUUGGGGUUGCGAGGCUUUCGUGAGAUACGAUACUCAUGAAAAUCUCGAACCUCACAGUGAGCGGUGUAUUUUCAUUGGCUAUCCACAGAAAUCCUUUGGUUAUCUCUUCUAUAGACCGAGAGACAAUGUUGUCUUCGUUUUGAGGAGAGGAAUCUUUCGCGAGAGAGAGCUCAUAGGCCAAGGAGACAUUGGGAGGCAGAUUGACCUUGAAGUACUUCAAGUGUCAAGCGGUGAAGGAACCUCAAACACUAGCAAUCAACCUGAGGAGGAAACUCCUGUUGAGCCGAAUGACGAGUCUGUACCUCUGAGGCGUUCCGGUAGAGUUAGAGUUCCACCUGAGUUUUAUGGUUUCCAUAUUACUGUAAAAGGAGAUACAUUUAUCAUUGAUAACACACUGGUAAAUUUGGAUUAACCUAACAACUAGAAGGAAGCCAUGACAGGCCCCGAGUCUGCUAAAUGGAAAGAGGCUAUGGACAGCAAGAUUCAUUCCAUGUAUGACAAUCAAGUUUGGAACUUGGUUGACAAUGUACCGGGUCGUAAGACAGUCGGGUGCAAAUGGAUCUUUAAGAAGAAGACUGACAUGGAUGGGAAGGUACAUACUUAUAAGGCGCGACUGGUUACGAAGGGCUUUACUCAAACUCCGAGAGUUGAUUAUGAUGAGACUUUCUCACCAGUAGCGAAAAUUAAUUCUAUUUGGGUUAUGCUAGCCAUUGCUGCAUUUCAUGAUUAUAAAAUCUGGCAAAUGGAUGUCAAAACCGCUUUUCUUAAUGGAAAGUUGGCUGAGGAUGUUUACAUGAAUCAGCCAGAGGGUUUUGUCGAUGCAAAGUACCUUAAUAGAGUGUGUAAGUUUGAGAAAUCCAUUUAUGGAUUGAAACAAGCAUCUCAUAGAUGGAAUAUUUGUUUCGAUGAGAAAGUCAAAUAUUUUGGAUUUUCGAGAAGUGAGGAUGAGUCCUGUGUAUAUGUCAAAGCUAGUGGGAGCAUAGUUAGCUUUCUGCUAUUGUAUGUGGAUGACAUACUACUCAUAGGAAACGACAUCCCAACCUUAUAAGAGGUUAAGUCCUGGCGUGGGAAGUGUUUCGCCAUGAAGGACCUCGGAGAAGCUACCUAUAUUCUUGGGAUAAGGAUAUUGAGAGACAGGAGUAAGAGACUAAUUGGACUUAGUCAAAGUACCUACUUGGAUAAGGUGUUGAAAAGAUUCAGCAUGCAGGAUUCCAAGAAAGGUGACUUACCGAUGCUGAGUAAUGCCACACUGAGUAAAGCUCAGAGUCCGAGUACAUAGGCUGAGAUAGCUGAGAUGAGUCGAAUACCAUAUGCGUCAGCUGUUGGCUCGAUCAUGUAUGUUAUGACUUGUACUCGCCCUGAUGUGGCCUUUGCUUUGAGCAUGGUCAGCAGAUAUCAUGGGAAUCCUUGCAAGGCUCACUGGACUGUAGUAAAGAACAUUCUCAAGUACCUACGAAGGACUAAGGACUGGGUCCUUAUCCUCAGUGGGAGUGAUGACUUAAGAGUGGUGGGGUAUAGCGACACCAACUUUCAGACCGACAGGGAUAAUUUCUGCUCUCAGUCGGGCUGGGUCUUUGCCCUAAAUGGAGGAGCAAUAACAUGGAAAAGUUCCAAGUAAGAGACAGUAGUUGAUUCAACUUGUGAAUCAGAGUACAUAGCAGCAAGCGAGGCGGAGAAAGAAGCAAUAUGGAUGAAGAACUUCAUUGGAGACCUUAGAGUUGUACCAGCUAUAAAGGAGCCUAUGGAGAUUUUAUGUGACAACGAGAGUGCAGUUGCCUUAGCUAAGGAACCAAGGGAUCAUGACAGAUCCAGGCACAUCGACAAAAAAUACUACUUCAUUAGACAUCGCAUAGAAGGACUCCUCAUGGCAAAGAGGGUAUCGUGUGAUGAGAACCCAGCAGAUCCAACACGAAGAGACUGAGUAGGGUUAAGCAUCUGUAGCAUGCGAGACGCAUCGAGCUGAAGGACGAUAUUGGUUUAAUGAUUAGAUAGCUUUCGAAACUUGUAAUAGUUGAAAUGUAAUUGACAUUUGAUGCUUAAAUAAAUGGUUCUUUUUAUUUACUAGUAUGGUAUUGUCUUAUGUCAAUCAUUUACUAUUGUUUCACUUUGCAUGUUUUGACUUCUAGAAUAAUUAUAUUAUUCAAACUAUCCACAGUCGAUCAUAUGUUGGAAGUAGGUAUUGAAACAAGACUGUCAUGAAUAUUGGCUUGUAGAUUUUUCUGAAUUGUGUUAUACAUAGCAAAGUUUACUGCAACAUUCAUGAGUGCUCAUAAGGUCUGAGUAUUGGAUUUAACCUGAGCUCACUUGUAUCACUUCAUGGAAUUUAUCUCAAGUGACCGUGAGACGAUAAUAUCAUAUAAGUCUUCAAACCAAGAUAUAUGAGUUGUUGACUAUGAGUUGGUUGUGCAUUGAUAGUACGAAACCACUUCAGUAACUUGAUGCUAUAAAACGUGUUGUUGUGUAUAAUUUGAUAAGUAGUUAGUACAAGCAUAUGAUUCGCAGUUUAUCCGUUCCUUUUGGGCCUUGGGGGCUUAAAAGUGAUAUCUUGGGCCCCUCUAUGAUUUUGAUUUGACCUAUGUGUCAGGCCCGGUCAGAACUGAAUUGAUGUGUUCGAUUAAGUUCUGUGUCAAUCAAAUCGGAGAUUGAGAAACAAACUGCUAGACAAUAAGUAUGACGUUGUUCCAUGUAUUUGUCCGGAUGAUAUCUUGAGAACAGAGGAUUAUAUGAUCACUUAUCUAAAAUGGAGCGUCUCAGUUUGACAUAGGCUUUUAAGAGCUACGAUUGCUAGUCGGUGUUUUAAGUCGUACUUGCAGUUAUAGUUAUUAGACUUAUCCAAGUGGAAGACCGUUGGAUUUAGUGUCUAAGCCCAUAACUAUAAUUGGUAUGUACUUGACGCAAGAGUAGCAUGCUCCAUUUGGGUUGCAUGGCAUCGAAACAAUUUGUAAGGAUGGACUUUUAAGAAGAGGAUAUUUAUGAUUUAUUAAUAUAUUAUAAGUUAUAAUAUAUUAAUAUGAAAUCAUAUUAUUUAGUUAGUACUGAUCAAGAAUUAAUUUGGAAUUAAUUUUACAAACAAAAGAGACUAAUUAAAUAUAUGGGGAUUGAUUGUGUAAAUCAUUCAUUCUUAUAAAGUGGGCUUAUGAUGCAUAGUUCUUUAUGUUGGGCUAAACCCAUGUGGUGACCCAUGGAUACUCCAUGGAGGUUAAAACCCAUGGAGCCUAAGGAAUGUGGAAAGACAUGCACAUUAGGGUUUGCAAGCUGUAACCCUAGUUGUGUCACACUAUAUAAUCAACCUCAUGGCAACCAAAAUCGGUACUUAAGUGAGAUACAAGAGGGCUAGCCGAUUUUGUUUGUGCAAGACAAUCUCUUCUCAAGCCCUCCAUUGUGGGUGGUGAUGUGUGAAGCAUUUGAGGCAUCACACUUGGGGUGCUAGGCUCUUAAAAUCUUAAGGUUUCAAAGAUACACCCAAGGUAAGUCAUCUAACUAGAUUUUUGUAGUUUAUAUACUCCACAGUAUGCUAGUUAGGAUGAUGCAUUGGAAAAUUGAAAGUUUGCAUGUAUAAUAGAGAAAACAUAGAUCCAAGGCAUCGAGGGUUACAUGUACACCAUAGGAGUGUUAGAAUUCUCAAAACCCUUCAGAUAUCAGAUAAAACACAUAUAAGACCAUAGGGACUAAUACCAAAUAAAACCCUCAGGGUUGUGACUUCCCUGCUACGCGUAUGGGUCCCUUGCUUCCAGUAGUACGAGCCCAUACUGCCUUCGCACGUACGCGUAUUUAUCUCAGAGGAACAUCACAACAACCCUAACAAUACACACUUGCAUACGCAUACACUCUAUCCUCACUUCCUAGAGGAAGGCUAAACAUUACACAACUGAUCGACAUACCCUACACAAUUAAUCAAACAUAACAUUGGAUCCGAUAGAAAGUUAAAUACAUGAUUCUACCCUAAACUCUUCAUCAAACAAGAACAGGAAAUAAGGCUAAAUCAAACAUUCUCAGGCUAUAAAAUCUUAGUUAUGUACAAUUUUGAUUCAUACACUAAGCAACUACGUUAAUGAUGUCAAUUUUAUAUAAGGAAGAACCCUUGGCUAUCAGACAUCAUAUAAUCAGGCAAUUCUAUCAUGUAAUUCCUAAAUAUCCCUAGCCUAUCACUAGCAUGUUGUUCUAAAAUAUCACAAUAUCAAAUAACAGUGUGGUAAUUUGAGGUCUACUUAUUGGCUAUGGCCGAUCGUACGCAUCACAUCCUCUUUUGAUUAUUUUGAAAACGCUUUGAAAUUCAUUUAUAAAAACUUUUCCUUAGUUUGAGACUAGAUUUACAUGAGUGUUCCUCCAGUUCACUCAAACCAAGGCUCUGAUACCAACUUGUAACAUCCAUAAAAUCACAAUAAAUUUAAACGUUUAAAAUCAACCCAAAUUCAUAAAUUGUUUAUAAAUCAUAGUUUUCAAAACAUUUUCCAAACAUCAGAGUCUACCAAAAUCAUAUGUCAUAAAUAAGAGAAUGUGUACGGUCAUGCCUUCGCCUUCCUGUGAUCAUCUGAAGUACAUGAAAACAUAACCCAAAAGUAUAAGUCAAUUGCCUAGUGAGUUCCCCCAAAGCACCACCACAUACACAUAAUAACAAACAACAUGCAUAUAGAGCCUUCCUCUUGACUGGAAUGUCGCACCGACCUACAGACUAUCCAGACCGCUCAUAGAACCUUCAGCAUGACUGGAACACCUCACCGGUCCUUCAGCCUAUAUGGACCGUUCUUUGGGCCUUCGACAUGAAUGGUACGCCUCUUAGACCUUAGUCUUUCCGGGCCGCCCUGGGUCUCUUGGCCUUCAGUCUACAGUAGUCCGCCUCAACCCAACCAUAACAAAUAAACAUACAUAUAACUAGUCAACAGACAAUCAGGCAGAUCCACAGAUCAUUAAGCAUAACAUCAUCCUAUACACCAGGAUACCGAUCUAACAGAUCACUACAGCACGAUAACAUACUAUCACAAAACAAGAUAUCUAAUCCAGUGGGCUGCCCUUGGUGCCUUGAACCCAUAAGUACAGUGAGGAAAACUCACCUCACAGAUUGGACGAAAGUUGAUGAGGUCUCGACUCCGAAUCUCAGCUCUCUAACCGUCACCUAUCCAACCAAAUGACUAACCACAAUCAAAAUCCCAAAACAUCCUUGGGUCAUACUUGGUCAAAGUCACAAUCAAAUUGGUCAAAUCAAAUGAGUCAACUGAGUCAACCCAGCCAAGACACCACAGAGUGAGUACGCGGGGCGUUCUCCAAAUAUAUGUUGGGCAUACUCGAAUGUUGACCACCGUCGGGGUGGUUGACCAUGUGCGCGGUGCGUACUCAAGGUAUACGGGGCAUACUCCCAGAUUCCCAAACCAUUCAUUAAGACCUUAAUUCUUAAGCUCUCAUGUCCAUCUUUCAGAUCCUUGGUUAAAAUACCCUCAAGAGUCAUAAAUUUUCCAACUUUAUGAAUUUGCAUGUCCAUUAAGUGCUUAACUCAACUUCUUAAUCCAUCAAGACCUUCUAAAUGAUGCAUGGAGCAAAACCGACCAUUUGGAACCCAUUUUAACGACUUAAGACCCUUCCAAGGGUCUGAAAGGACAACUUAAGGGGUCAAGAACAAGCUAUGUUCAUGAAUCUCCACAUUUGGGACAAAAAGGACCAAAAACCAUUCCAACACAAGAUCUAAAUGAAACUUCACCAAGUUCAGAACAUGAUGCCUCAAAAUGGUGCCGAAAGGUGGUGUGAUCCUGGAUCCAAAGAGCUUCACUCCUCCAAGGUGGUCUCUCAUUCCUUCCUUUUAUUUAAGAGCACAAAACACACACUCCCAUGCUUAGAAAUGCUUCACAAGAUAGAUUGGCAUUGUAAAAACGUUUCAAGAGGAUGGAGGUUGAGGAAGUGAGGGGAAAUGUGGCUAUAAUGGGGUUUAAAUAUGAACCAAACCCUAAAAAUUAGGGUUUACAUGUCUGGCACCUAUGCCCUAUAUACAUAUGUAUGCCCUAGUACGCUUAGCAUACAUACAUACACAUGGUGUUCUCCCCAAACUCCCAAAUUACAAAAUUCCACUUGGGCCUUCCUUAAACCCAUUCAUAUACUUAGGGACAAAAAUGCAAUAUCAUUCAGUUAUAAGGUAAAAAUUACAAGUACCUUAUCAUCGAGAUGUUACAGUUUGUUUCAAGUGGCUUCAACUGCCUCGAGGCGUACACCAUCACUUCACCCUACUGCAUCCGAACUGCACCCAAUCCCAUGUUUGACGCAUCACAAUAUACCAUAAAGUCCUCAACAUCCUCUAGCAGGGACAAAAUCGAUGCUUCACAUAAUCUCUGUCUCAGGGUAUUAAAAGAUGCAUGCUGCUCAGGCCCCCAAAGAAAAGUGAUGGUCUUCUUCAUCAAUCGAGUCAAAGGAACCGCUAUCUUGGAGAAAUCAUGAAUGAAUCUUCAAUAGUAACCUACCAAUCCAAGGAAACUUCGAAUCUCAGAUUGAGACCUCGAAACCUCCCACGUCAUCACUGCCUCAACCUUGGCCGGAUCGACCAGAAUGUCGCUCUGGUUGACAAUGUUUCCUAGAAACUACACCUUAUGCAACCAGAACUCACACUUGGAGAACAUUACAUAUAGUCUCUCCCUCCUCAGAGUCUCCAAUACCUCCCUCAGAUGCUCCUCAUGUUGCUCUUGAGUCUUGGAAUAGACCAGGAUGUCAUCAAUAAAUACAAUCACAUACCGAUCAAACAUGGUCCUGCACACACGAUUCAUGAAAUCCAUUAAGGUGGUCGGAUCAUUGGUGAUCCCGAAAGGCAUCACCACGAACUCCUAUUGACCACAACGAGUCCGGAUGGCCGUCUUCUGCAUGUCCUCCUGUCUGACUGUCAUCUGGUGAUAACUCGAAUGUAAAUUAAUAUUGGAGAACCAAGAUGCGCCCUAAAGUGGAUCAAAUAAAUCGUCGAUCCUCGGGAGCGGGUAACGGUUCUUUACCGUUAGCUUAUUCAGCUCCUGGUAGUCAAUACACAUCCGAUGCAUCACAUCCUUUUUCUUCACAAAUAAGAUCGGCGCUCCCCAUGGUGAACUACUUGGUCAAAUAAAUCCCUUUUAUAGCAGCUCCUACAGCUACGUAGAUAACUCCUGCAUCUCUGGAUGUGCUAAACGAUAAGGUGCCUUGGCUAUCGAAGCCACACCUGGAACCAAAUCAAUCAGAAAUUCCACUUGCCUCUCUGAAGGCACUCAUGGCACGUCCUCCAGGAACACAUCUGGGUACUCCCAAACAAUCAGUACAUCACCUAUGGUCAUAUCACCCUUCUCCCGGAUAUCCGUCACAUAGGCCAAAACCCGAAACAUCUUUGCUGUAGAUAACGCUCUGCUCUGGAUGCUGAACAUAAAGUCGGCCCACGCUAAGCACCCUCACCGUGGAUCACCAACUCUCCCCCACUUGGGGUCCAAUCACAUACCAACUGAAUCCUGCAAUCAAUCAUCGCCCCAUUAGGGCUCAACCAAUCCAUCCCCACAAUGACCGUGCUCUCGUGCAGGAGAAUGAAAACCAAGUCAGUCAGAUAUUGGUCACUAAAUAACUCCAAAGUGCAUCCCCGGUGAACCCUCCACACUCGCACCGGAAGAUCAUCCAUUAUUUCAAACUCUAGUGGAUAAUCCAACUCUCCAGGGACAUUGUCGAACCUCCUGCUAAGCGCAAGGGAUACAAAAGAUCGGGUAGCCCCCGAAUCGAACAAGACCAAUGCAAGAAUACCGAUCACAAGGAACGACCCAAAUAAAAAAUAUAAACAUAUAAGCAUGAAAAAUAACAUAACUAAGUAGAUAAGGAGAAAAUACAUACCAGUGACCACAUCGGGUGCUGCAUGAGCCUCCUCGACUGUCACCUGAAAUUCCUUGCUCUGAAUAACUGGUGCCUCUGCCUUCCCCAGGCCACUAUCAGGGAUCCUUAGAAUCGUCGGAGCAGGUGCUGAAAUUGGUCCUCCUGAUACUAAACCCAGGCAGUUGGCCUUCUUAUGCCCACUCUGAUUGCAAUGGAAACAAAUCAGAUCUGGUAUCUCGUUGGUGGUGGUGGUAGCAGUACGAUCCUUGUGAAAAUGCCAUGUCUUGCUACACUUAUAACAGCCCGAACCACCCGCCCUACAGAGCCCAUCAUGUGUCUUGUUGCACUUUCCACAGUUGCCCCGUCCCUGCUGGCCCUUCAAUCUAGAAUCGAAACCCAUGGUUUCCUUCACUGAAACCCCGAUAGUCUGCCCAUGCUCUGCCUUCCUCUUCGCUAUAUGCCCUAAUCAAUCUCCCGUUCCUGAGACUUGGAUAUCAUGUCAUCCAGUUUCGGGUAGGCGGAAAAACUGACAAACUCCCAAAUAUCUUAUCUCAACAUUUCAUGGUACCGAGUCUUUCGCUAUCCUCAUUUGUAGCAUAAUGAGGUACCAAUAGGUCUCUCUCUCUCUAAACUUGGUGGUGAUCUCCGCCACGGUCUCAGUCGUCUGCCGCAUAUCUAAAAACUCUAUCGCUAGUUGUUGCCCCUUAACAAUUGGUGUAAACUCCACUCGAAAUCGGGUAACAAAAUCUAUCCAGGUAAAGGCCUCAAUGGAUGGGGAUCCUAGAGUAUAGCCAACCUCCUCCCACUAAUCUUGAGCUCGCUCCAUCAAACAUCCUGCAGCGAACCUCACCUUCGACCCUUCGAGGUAGAAGCUUAUCAUUUGGGCACACUUAGUAUCUACUAGACAACACCUGGCAGCAAUAAGGUCAUUCACCCCAAAUGAUUCUAGUGUCCCACAUCCGCAGAAAUCCCAAAAGGAGAGAAUGUGGGCCCCAGACUGGCUAGCGGCCAGAUUGGCCAUGAAGAUCUGAAGGUGAUCCUCCAUCAGCUCCAUGAUACCCUCCUUGACCGACCCAAACAUCACUGGGGUCGCAUAAAGGAUGCCUCUAGUAGCCUCUGAUGCAAUGAACUCAUGUAAUCCCUCAUCCAUUGGUUAGAUGCCCAUGCCCGAACCAGAUCUAAAUCUUGAACCCCGUGCUCCAUUACGUGUCACCACUAUGCUGAAACAUAACCACAUAAACAAUCAGUAAACACAUAGAGAGGUUCACACUCUCAAGCUUCCUAGAUUCAUCAUGGUCUUCCUGGUCUCGGGUAUAAAUAUUGUUCUUCCAUUACUACGAGCCCAAUACUACCUUCCAUACCUAUCUAUACCCUCCUCAAGGACUAACCCGACUCCUCCAAGUCACUAAUACCUAUCUAAUACACUGCUCAUACUAUAAGGCAUCCUACGCGCCAUUACAUACUCCAGGAACUUCCCGGGGUUCCUUUCCUCACCACUCUCUACUAUCAGCUACAGAAUGAACUUCCACUAAUACCAUCUAACCACCAUACAAAUACAAUUAUAUACUAUCGAUACUAGAUAAUGAUUUGAAUGAAAGGUCCCACACUACAACGGUUGGACUCAGACAAGAGCUGCACAAUAGAGUUAAACAUAUCCUUCUAAAGUUAUCUAAUCCCAAUAAUGUUGGAAUAGUGUCUAAGGCUACAACUAUAUUAGGCAAGUAUUUGACCCGAUUGUGCAUGGUCCUUUUGGGUUGCCUUCACCAUAGCAACUUGAUAGGAUGAUUUAUUAUGAGAGAAUAAAUAUUAUUAAUAUAUUAUGAGAAUAAUAUACAGAAUAAUAAUAUUGUUAUUUGAUUAAUAUAAGUCAUAAAUUAAUUAAUAUUAACUUGGUGACUUAAAGAGAUUAAUUAAAUAAGAGGGUAUAAACUGUCAAUUGUUUGAUAGUUACACUUUAGACUGUAAAUCCUUAAGGGAUAAGGGAUGGGCGGAUUCUAGGGCUUAGGAUAGCUCAAAAUCGUCCAAGGCUUAUCUAAGGUAAGGAUUUGGAUUGCUUUAAGGAAAGAUUAUCCAACUAGGGUUUAAAGGUGAAACCCUAAGGAGUCUACAAGUAUAAAUAGAUCCCUUGAGCAAGGGAAAUCGGCAUCUCAUCUAAAGUAGAGAACCCCUGGCCGAUUUCCUCCCAACCUCUCUCUCAAAUCAUCCUCCUUGCUAGUUGGUGUUUGUAAGCCAUUAGAGGAGUGACAAUUGUGACUCUAGAGCUCCAAGACAACAAGAUCAAACAAGAGAUUCAAAGGUAAACUUCUAGAUCUGAUUUUGUAUUGUUCUUAUACCUAAUUAGUCAUUAGAAGUCUUGGAUUCAAAGCAUGUUUAAUUAGAAAGCCUAGAUCCAAGCGUUAGGGUUUUGCAUGCGCACAUAGGAAAAUUCUUAUGGCUAAAACCCAUCAAAUAAUAUGUAACCAAACACAUUCGUCCACUAGUCAGCUGGUACUAAUAAAAUUCCUAAAAUCACAAAGCACGCAACAUUCGAGAAACAAGCAAUUCAAAUCAGAACACAACCUAAACAAGUCAUCCUACUAGAUAACUGAUCUCAUACUAGCAUGCAAAUAUUUAAUCUUAUACAAUAGGCACAUAAGGGCAUUUCUCCUAACAUUCUAUCAUGUAAUUCUGAGCAGAUCCUUGGCCCUAAUUUAGCAUGUAAUUCUCAUAUCAUAGCGUAAAACAUAUAACAUGUAUGGGUAUUUUGGGAAGACUUACUUUAGCUCGGGUGAUUUCACACAUUUCAUCCCUUUCUUUUAUGAAAAUCCCUUAAUAAAAAUAUUUAUUUUUUAUGGAAAAAUCUACCAAACCCUCGAUUUAAGUUCAGGAACACCCGAGAGUGUGCCCAAAUCCCUCAAACCAAGGCUCUGAUACCAACUUGUAACAUUCGAAAAAUUCCAGACAAAAUUUUCAUUUUUAAUUCAUUUAAGAUCGUUUAGCAAUCAUGUCAAACAGAGGCGGAUCCCUUUAGCGGCUAGGAGGGGCCAUGGCCCCCCUGUUUUUUUUGCCUUUUAAUACUAAAAAAAUACAAAUUAACUUAUUAAUUUAGGUAAAUACUAAUGUUGGCCCCCUCAUCAUUUUGAAAAGGAUAAGUAGAAAAGAUCAAGUAUUUUAUAACAGUACGUUUAUCAAAAAUUAAAAUUAUUAAACUAAGAAUUAGAUGUAUUUGCCCUCAUAAAUUUGAAAAAUAAAAUACUAAUGUUGGCCCCCUCGGCGAGUCCCUUGGUGCACUCGGCGAGUCCAAGCGUCAGGAAAGGCCAGAUUCGGGAUUUUUGAUGAUUAUCUUAUGGAAACGUACCUUAAUCAUAUUAGAUCAACCCUAAUCCGAUUUUUUGAUAUAUAUGACUAUGAUAUUGAUCUAAUUGAAGAUAUUUAUCAACUAAUAAAAUAUUUAAUUUCCUUAUAUGAUAAUUAAUUAAUUAUUUUGAUUAAAUUGGUAAUUAUCUUACUAGAAAUCUUGAAUAAAUCAAAUAUGGAUAAUUAUGGAAUUAUUGUUAAUUAAAAUUAUUUGUUAUUUGAUCCUCUAUGUUUUAAAUGUUUAAAACUUGUCCUCAAGUUUUGAAAUUUAUGUUUUGUGAUGAAAAGUUUUAAUUUAGACAAUUUAAAUUUCAAACCCUAGAUUUUUUAAAAGUUUAAAAUACAACCCUAUACUAAUAUAAUAUUACAAGAUUAAUAUAUAUGUAUAACUAAAAUGCUAGUCUUACCGUUAGUAGGCCUCAUUCACGAAGCCAAUCUAUAAGGUGGGUAUAAGGUUGCGGCCUAUAAAAUGGUGCUUAAUGGGUGUACACUCACACCCACCGCUUGCUUGAUUGGUGGAGGGUCGUUAGCCGAACGGGUAGGAUAGGGCAACCUCAUCCUCUCAUUAAAAGUAUAAUAAGAAAUAUAAAGUAACUACA